Molecule: ribosomal RNA, 729 nt
Filed under: Microbacterium paraoxydans
Lineage: Bacteria; Bacillati; Actinomycetota; Actinomycetes; Micrococcales; Microbacteriaceae
Description: bacterial SSU rRNA
Rfam family: Bacterial small subunit ribosomal RNA
Source: RNAcentral
UGUAAACCUCUUUUAGCAGGGAGAAGCGAAGUGACGGUACUGCAGAAAAGCGCCGGCUAACUACGUGCCAGCAGCCGCGGUAUACGUAGGGCGCAAGCGUUAUCCGGAAUAUUGGGCGUAAAGAGCUCGUAGGCGGUUUGUCGCGUCUGCUGUGAAAUCCCGAGGCUCAACCUCGGGCCUGCAGUGGGUACGGGCAGACUAGAGUGCGGUAGGGGAGAUUGGAAUUCCUGGUGUAGCGGUGGAAUGCGCAGAUAUCAGGAGGAACACCGAUGGCGAAGGCAGAUCUCUGGGCCGUAACUGACGCUGAGGAGCGAAAGGGUGGGGAGCAAACAGGCUUAGAUACCCUGGUAGUCCACCCCGUAAACGUUGGGAACUAGUUGUGGGGUCCAUUCCACGGAUUCCGUGACGCAGCUAACGCAUUAAGUUCCCCGCCUGGGGAGUACGGCCGCAAGGCUAAAACUCAAAGGAAUUGACGGGGACCCGCACAAGCGGCGGAGCAUGCGGAUUAAUUCGAUGCAACGCGAAGAACCUUACCAAGGCUUGACAUAUACGAGAACGGGCCAGAAAUGGUCAACUCUUUGGACACUCGUAAACAGGUGGUGCAUGGUUGUCGUCAGCUCGUGUCGUGAGAUGUUGGGUUAAGUCCCGCAACGAGCGCAACCCUCGUUCUAUGUUGCCAGCACGUAAUGGUGGGAACUCAUGGGAUACUGCCGGGGUCAACUCGGAGGA